GCAACGAAAUAUAACAAAGAGCUGUUUUGACCUAUAUUGUUUCAGCUAAGCACAACAAAACUGAAAUACAGGCGAAAAGUAAAUAAGUCAAGACUAAGCAACCAGGGAAGCGCUCAGUCAGAAGAUAGGCAGCAAUCUCACGGGAUACAGGUGCACAUUUUUACGACAAAAGACAAACCAUUCACUCACCAUUCACACAAACACAAAGUUGUUUUUAAUUAUCAGGCAAAUAAAUUAAGAAUAUAA
Molecule: long non-coding RNA, 246 nt
Filed under: Haliotis rubra (blacklip abalone)
Lineage: Eukaryota; Metazoa; Mollusca; Gastropoda; Lepetellida; Haliotidae
Description: uncharacterized LOC124274025, transcript variant X1
Source: RNAcentral